Molecule: ribosomal RNA, 468 nt
Filed under: uncultured bacterium
Lineage: Bacteria
Description: partial 16S ribosomal RNA
Rfam family: Bacterial small subunit ribosomal RNA
Source: RNAcentral
GACGAACGCUGGCGGCGUGCUUAACACAUGCAAGUCGAACGGAAAGGCCCUGCUUUUGUGGGGUGCUCGAGUGGCGAACGGGUGAGUAACACGUGAGUAACCUGCCCUUGACUUUGGGAUAACUUCAGGAAACUGGGGCUAAUACCGGAUAGGAUCUCCUGCUGCAUGGUGGGGGUUGGAAAGUUUCGGCGGUUGGGGAUGGACUCGCGGCUUAUCAGCUUGUUGGUGGGGUAGUGGCUUACCAAGGCUUUGACGGGUAGCCGGCCUGAGAGGGUGACCGGGCACAAUGGGACUGCGAUACGGACCAGACUCGUACGGGAGGCAGCAGUGGGGAAUAUUGCACAAUGGGCGGAAGCCUGAUGCAGCAACGCCGCGUGCGGGAUGACGGCCUUCGGGUUGUAAACCGCUUUCGCCUGUGACGAAGCGUGAGUGACGGUAAUGGAUAAAGAAGCACCGGCUAACUACGUG